This is a long non-coding RNA of Pocillopora damicornis (cauliflower coral), 656 nucleotides long. The record is from RefSeq and is a predicted model, not a curated record. Lineage: Eukaryota; Metazoa; Cnidaria; Anthozoa; Scleractinia; Pocilloporidae.
AGCGUGUGUUUCUUCGUUCGAAGUUGCUGAGUAAGGUAGCUCAAAUCCAACGUCGAGGAUUGAUGGAAGUCAUUUUGUUUCGAAUUUUCCCGAGCACAACAUCAAGCAUAGAAUGAGAACAGCUCGAAAUAAGACAUUCGAGGAAGGAAAUAGAAACUUGAGAAUUUUUUCUAAGAGUCCAAUGGGAGAAAUAUAAACUACGAUGGGCAAGGAAGAAUUACAAGGUUACAAUGAUGGAAUAAAACAGAAUCUGAGUGAUUGUCAAAAGAAGAGGAUUCAAAGAGGAUUGGAUAAUGGAAUGGGAAAUGAACAGAGAGAUAAAGGAGACCUCGGCUGAAAGUUGCUUGAAUUUCAUAAUGGAAGAAAGAAAUAUAUGAAAGUCCCAGUCUAUAUUUAAAGCAAUAAAAAUAAUUUUCGAGUAAAGUAAGAAACUGUAUUUAGGUCCUAUUUUAGCAGCGAAAGUAGAUGUUAAAUUUAUUUCAAGUGUUACUUUACUAGAUAAAGAGUGAUAAAAAUUGUGUCGAUAUAAAACUGUGAGUGUGUAAGUAAAUAACAUUUUUUUCUGUGACUUAAGAAGAGAAAGCAAAACGUCUGAUGAAAUUUGCUUCGUUUGAAGUCGUUCAAAAAAUUUAAUCCAAAAGUGCAAUUGAAGUAAA